RNAcentral lists this ribosomal RNA (253 nucleotides) under uncultured bacterium. Its description in RNAcentral is "partial 16S ribosomal RNA". It matches the Rfam family "Bacterial small subunit ribosomal RNA", at positions 524 to 776 of the family's 1533-position model. The record is from RNAcentral.
UACGGAGGAUGCAAGCGUUAUCCGGAAUUAUUGGGCGUAAAGCGUCCGUAGGUUGUUUUACAAGUCAGUUGUUAAAGCGUGGGGCUUAACUCCAUAAGAGCGAUUGAAACUGUGAGACUAGAGUGCGGCAGGGGUAAGGGGAAUUCCCAGUGUAGCGGUGAAAUGCGUAGAUAUUGGGAAGAACACCGGUGGCGAAAGCGCCUUGCUGGGCCUGCACUGACACUGAGGGACGAAAGCCAGGGGAGCGAAAGGG